AAAUAUUAUGUAAUAUUAGUGGAAAAAAUGUCACAAAGUAACUUGCAAAAUAUUAGCUGAUUUAUCUUAAUUUAAUUAUAUAGUAAUAUUUUGAUAUUUAUAAUAAUAAAAGAAGUUUUUGAUUGGAUAAUCCAGGUAAGUUGCAGCGUUGGCCUAGAAGAUGUUGGAGAAAUAGCUUGCACAUUGUGGGCCCAGAAGAUUAGCUAAUUUUCCAUGUCAUUCAUCGCCACGCGCCUCCGACGCUCUCAUCCGAAAACUCCGUUUGCCCCGGAGGACAAGCCGGAUUCUUCUCAGAACCCCGACCCCCACGAAAGAAACCCGAACCCGAGUACCGGAAAGACCGCGAAGAGUGGUCGGACACAGCGAUCGCGUGUCUUCUCGAGGCUUAUACUGAAAAGUUUAACCAACUCAACCGCGGGAGAGAUUGGGAGGAGGUUGCGGAGGCCCUUAGCGAAAGAUGCGGCUUCUUCGGAAACGGAGAUGGAGCGGAGUUUAAAUGGUGGCAGUGCAGAUUGCUAGGGGUGGAGGAAUUUACGAACUCCUUCAAGGUACAAAGGGUGAUGGUGUCUAUGAUUGCCAUUCUGAUAAAGGCAGGGAGGCAGGUGGUUUCCAGUGGAUUAUCGUCUAUGGACACGAUGGCCAUUACAUACUGUGAAGAGAACGGAAUUCCUGGUAAUGUAAUAUUUUAGUUGCACUCAUUCCUUUUGUAUUUUCCUGAAAUUUCAUAUGCUCUUUGUGCAGUUGUGGUAUUUGAUUUGCUUGAACCUGGGAAUAUUUCUAGAGCAUUAUGUGGAGGACGAGUUGGCACUUUGAUUGACCAACAACGAAGGAUGAGUCAGAACUGUAAAUGAAUUGGAAGUACCACAGAUCGAUGAUGCAUAAUGAAAAGAGCCUGCUUCAUCUGUAAUGCCAUGGAUCCAUCCACUUGACAACUCUACUGCUGCUGGCUAAGAAGGGCAACCUUAUUCAAUAAUAUCCUGCAUUUAGUCAGGAUACACUUCUGCAACAUAAAUGGGAGAGUGGGAGGA
Theobroma umbraticum is the source of this 1028-nucleotide non-coding RNA. The record is from RefSeq and is a predicted model, not a curated record. NCBI's taxonomy places the organism in Eukaryota, Viridiplantae, Streptophyta, Magnoliopsida, Malvales, Malvaceae.